GCCGCCGCGGUAAACCAGCUCUUCAGUGGUCGGGACAAUUAUUGGGCUUAAAGUGUCCGUAGCCGGUAUAGUAAGUUCCUGGUAAAAUCGGGUAACUUAACUAUCCGUGUGCUAGGAAUACUGCUAUACUAGAGGGCGGGAGAAGUCUGAGGUACUGCAGGGGUAGGGGUGAAAUCCUAUAAUCCUUGCAGGACCACCGGUGGCGAAAGCGUCAGACUGGAACGCGCCUGACGGUGAGGGACGAAAGCCAGGGGAGCGAACCGGAUUAGAUACCCGGGUAGUCCUGGCCGUAAACGAUGCAUACUAGGUGACGGCACGGCCAUGAGCCGUGUCGGUGCCGUAGGGAAACCGUUAAGUGUGCCGCCUGGGAAGUACGGUCGCAAGGCUUAAACUUAAAGGAAUUGGCGGGGGAGCACCACAAGGGGUGAAGCCUGCGGUUCAAUUGGACUCAACGCCGGGAAACUUACCGGGGGAGACAGCAGAAUGAAGGUCAGGUUGACGACCUUACCUAACAAGCUGAGAGGAGGUGCAUGGCCGUCGCCAGUUCGUGCUGUGAGGUAUCCUGUUAAGUCAGGCAACGAGCGAGACCCGCACCUUUAGUUGCCAGCAGGAAGUUACGACUUCGUUGGGCACACUAAAGGGACUGCCGAUCGAUAAGAUGGAGGAAGGAGCGGGCAAAGGCAGGUCAGUAUGCCCCGAAACCCCCGGGCUACACGCGGGCUGCAAUGGUAUGAACAAUGGGCUGUGACUCCGAGAGGAGAACCCAAUCCCUAAAUCAUAUCUCAGUUGGGAUUGUCGACUGUAACUCGUCGACAUGAACGUGGAGGAAUCCCUAGUAAUCGUGUGUCAUCAUCGCACGGUGAAUGCGUCUCUGCUCCUUGCACACACCGC
RNAcentral lists this ribosomal RNA (891 nucleotides) under uncultured archaeon. Its description in RNAcentral is "bacterial SSU rRNA". It matches the Rfam family "Archaeal small subunit ribosomal RNA", at positions 461 to 1349 of the family's 1478-position model. The record is from RNAcentral.